GACAGAGGUGCCGAGCGUUAGGCGGAAUCACUGGGCUUAAAGCGCGUGUAGGCGGAUCGUUAAGUACCUUGUGAAAUCCCACGGCUCAACCGUGGAACUGCUGGGUAUACUGGCGGUCUUGAGCCACCUAGGGGCGAGCGGAACAAGCGGUGGAGCGGUGAAAUGCGUAGAUAUCGCUUGGAACGCCAACGGUGAAAACAGCUCGCUGGGGGUGUGCUGACGCUGAGACACGAAAGCCAGGGGAGCAAACGGG
This 253-nucleotide ribosomal RNA is filed under the name uncultured bacterium. RNAcentral's name for it is "partial 16S ribosomal RNA". It matches the Rfam family "Bacterial small subunit ribosomal RNA", at positions 524 to 776 of the family's 1533-position model. The record is from RNAcentral.